ACAGCACCCAGAGACUCACCAGCCAGGUCCCUGAGCCUCUUUUGUAGGAGGAUCAGUGUUAGAGGGCAGCUUCUCCUCCACCACAUCUCAGCUCACCCAGUCCAUCCUCCCUUUACAGGCUACCUGUGAGACAUGCUGCUCCAGGCUCAGCCCCUGCCUGGUUCCUCAGUCUGUAGGAAGGUUUGGCAUCUUAUCAAGGUGUUUGGAUGCCAGUGAGACAAAGUAAACAGUGCUGAAGUACUGAAGAAAAUUUAAAUGUGAACUCUCUGUAUGUCACCUGCCACUUAAUAGAGAUGGGAAGAAGAGCUGGUUUCCACGGGGCUGAGGAGAAAAGACCCACAGUGAAUAAUGAUUGAAUACAAUGAAAACCUGAAUUCACAACACUUUCUUCCCACCUGCAGCAGCGGGUGCAGCCACACUGCAGCAGUUAAAAAUCACCUUUCAGACACCUCCUUAUUCCCAAGGCUAUAAAAUACCAUGGGGUGGCAGAGGAAAGAUUAUCCAAUUCAGA
Long non-coding RNA from Motacilla alba alba, 511 nucleotides. RefSeq lists it as uncharacterized. The transcript is spliced from 3 exons. The record is from RefSeq and is a predicted model, not a curated record. NCBI's taxonomy places the organism in Eukaryota, Metazoa, Chordata, Aves, Passeriformes, Motacillidae.